AAGGUUCGAUUCGAGCGCAGCGAGAAAGCGUUGCCGCAGGCAACGACCCGAAGGGCGAAGCGCGCUGCGCUGAGUCAUCCUUCCCCCACCACCA
Molecule: small RNA, 94 nt
Filed under: Salmonella enterica
Lineage: Bacteria; Pseudomonadati; Pseudomonadota; Gammaproteobacteria; Enterobacterales; Enterobacteriaceae
Description: partial RtT sRNA
Rfam family: RtT RNA
About the family: This family represents a bacterial cis-regulatory element known as RtT RNA. The exact function of RtT is unknown although it is thought that it may be involved in changing the cellular response in relation to amino acid starvation.
Source: RNAcentral